RNAcentral lists this ribosomal RNA (637 nucleotides) under Staphylococcus aureus. RNAcentral's name for it is "bacterial SSU rRNA". It matches the Rfam family "Bacterial small subunit ribosomal RNA", at positions 202 to 832 of the family's 1533-position model. Lineage: Bacteria; Bacillati; Bacillota; Bacilli; Caryophanales; Staphylococcaceae. The record is from RNAcentral.
ACGGUCUUGCUGUCACUUAUAGAUGGAUCCGCGCUGCAUUAGCUAGUUGGUAAGGUAACGGCUUACCAAGGCAACGAUGCAUAGCCGACCUGAGAGGGUGAUCGGCCACACUGGAACUGAGACACGGUCCAGACUCCUACGGGAGGCAGCAGUAGGGAAUCUUCCGCAAUGGGCGAAAGCCUGACGGAGCAACGCCGCGUGAGUGAUGAAGGUCUUCGGAUCGUAAAACUCUGUUAUUAGGGAAGAACAUAUGUGUAAGUAACUGUGCACAUCUUGACGGUACCUAAUCAGAAAGCCACGGCUAACUACGUGCCAGCAGCCGCGGUAAUACGUAGGUGGCAAGCGUUAUCCGGAAUUAUUGGGCGUAAAGCGCGCGUAGGCGGUUUUUUAAGUCUGAUGUGAAAGCCCACGGCUCAACCGUGGAGGGUCAUUGGAAACUGGAAAACUUGAGUGCAGAAGAGGAAAGUGGAAUUCCAUGUGUAGCGGUGAAAUGCGCAGAGAUAUGGAGGAACACCAGUGGCGAAGGCGACUUUCUGGUCUGUAACUGACGCUGAUGUGCGAAAGCGUGGGGAUCAAACAGGAUUAGAUACCCUGGUAGUCCACGCCGUAAACGAUGAGUGCUAAGUGUUAGGGGGUU